Pongo pygmaeus (Bornean orangutan) is the source of this 5623-nucleotide long non-coding RNA. RefSeq lists it as uncharacterized. Lineage: Eukaryota; Metazoa; Chordata; Mammalia; Primates; Hominidae. The transcript is spliced from 3 exons. The record is from RefSeq and is a predicted model, not a curated record.
GAACCUCCUUCUUUUUAUAAAUAGAAAUGAACUGUAUCUUAAAGGCUUCGGAUCAGAAGAUGAUGUCAGAAGUAGGAUCUGAAGUACAGUGUCUAACAACUCAAAUGAGUGCUGAGCGACCACGCGAGGUACCCACCAAUCCCACUGUGUCCACUGCUUUCCCCAGGUAGCUGGGGAUCACGGUAAAGAAAGCUUUUCAUGGUUCACUGACAGGACAAUCAAGCCCUUCACAAUCUAGAACUCAAAGACUGGAUCUUCUGAGAAUAUCAGAGAAAGACUGACCUUGCCAUCUACACUGCAGUGACACUUCGGGACCUUGAACCUUGAGUUCAUAAUCUCACACCUCAUAAGUGUAUUUCCACACUCUUGAAACUGUAUACCCAUUGAAAACCUUAAGUUAAAGCUAAUCAGGGAAGUUUCUCCCCAGAAGAAGAUGGCAUCCUUGAUGUGGACAGCUUUUUCCCAAGAUCAUGGAUCAAGACAUCUCUAAUAUCUUGAGACUCUUAUCCUUCUUUUUUUUCCCCCUUGCUUCUGCCUCUAUGAACAACAGAGUGGAAAGAGGGUCUGUUGUGUGCACUCAUGGGGUGUACUUUUAUUUUCUGAAGAAUUUUGCGGCCAGUUUUUUCCAUGAAUAAUCUUAUGCCUUCAUAGAUGAAAGAUGAAGGCCUAGUGUAGGCAAAGAAUUUUAGUGGUUCAUGUGUUGCCCCAUAAUCAGUCAGAAACAGAACAUUUGUUCACUCCACUUAACUCAUGUCAUGGAUUAAAGAGAACAGUUCCAAGAGGCCUUCACUAUUCUAGAAGGGCAUCAUUUGUUAGGUCUUUUUUUCUCCCCAUGGUUUGGAGUAAAUGAGGCAAUCACUAGGGAUUUAUCCCUCAUGAUAGGCUCUACAGCAGAUUCUACUGUAAAGCCUGUGGAUGCACAACAGACUGAAUUCUCUUGUGAAAGUUAUGAUAAAUAAAUAGAUUUGCUCUAGAUUACUUACUGACUAAACCAGAAAUAUCUGUGCAGCUGCUGGGACCUGUUGCCCAUAGAGAAACACAUCACAUUGGGUAUUAUAGAGAUUCAGUGAUUGGGAUUAACAAAGAGACUACUUAGUUGAAGUGAGUAGACUCUAUCUAGCUCAUGUUUUGAUUUAUUUGAUUUUCAUUAGUUUGGUUUAUGGGGACCCUGGCUAAGGAACAUACAUCAAACCAUUGGUAUUUUCCUCCUGAUAGUCAUAAUAGUAGUGUCCCUGGUGCACUGUAUUCUCUCAAAAGUUUUAAAUGUUUGCUUGCAGCCAUCCCUAGAAUGUCAAAUGGUCUCUCUUUAACUAGAAUGAUAAAAGCUGAAACAAAUUUGUGGCCAUGAUGGCAAUGUAACCAAUGAAUGACAUGCUGAGACUGGAAACUCAAAAUUAUGGUAACUGAGAAUGGUGUGAAGGCCUUAAGUUUUUGGCCACACUCUUACCUAAGUGAGAACUUGGCCAAAAGGGGCAAUUUUUUUAAACAAAAUUAUGGGAGGCCAUUGUUUUGGACUGAGCUUAGGCACUAAGCCCCAACAGACAAAACUAAACCAAAAUGGAGUCACUUGUGCUAAAUGUGACAUAAUCAAACUAAGAGUUUAAGGAAACACACAGAUCCUAGAAAAGACUAGACUUUGUUUUUAUCCUGUAAAUAGGACAUUCCAGAAUGAGGAGGUACCCUCUACUGUAACCCUUACAAAAAAUAACCAGAAGUCUUUGUUCCCACCUUACAAAACUCACUGUUCUAUUAUUUUGCAGUGGGCUUCAAGACUAAAUAAGUACAUUUACAAUAGUGAUAAUGACAUCAAUGACUAAUGUUUUGGUCAAUCUCAAAAUUGAGAGGAUGACCAAAGGUGGGGAAUUGUUAAAUCAAGUUUAGCCUUAAGAUACCUCCUUACAUAUUUUAAGUUCAGCCUAAAGAUAUGUUCGUACAUUGUGGACUAUAACCUAAAUGAAAUUGUAAACAGACUGUAGCCUGCUCUUGUGCCAAUCACCGAGUUUUGGCCAAUCAAAGGUGGCCAACUGUUUAAACCAUGUUCAAAAAAGGCAAACACCAAGCUAUAACCAACUUAGUCUGUUUCUGUACCUCGCUUCUGUGUUCUGUACAUCACUUUCCUUGUUUUGUCUGUAAAUCUUCUUCCAUCUUGUGGUUGAGUUGGAAUCUCUGAACCUACUCUGGUAAAGAUUUCUAAUAUCUUAAAAAACAAAACAAAACAAAAAACAGGAAGACUGGUAAAUUGCAUCACAUUCUUAUACUAUAUAGACUUGCAAUUUCACAUUUUAAUAUGAUUUUAUAUUAAUAAAAUUAAUUGUUAUAUGACCACUGUAGAAAGCUGAGUUUUAUUGAUCAAAGAGACUUUAGGAAUAAUCUAGCAUGAUGCUGUAUUAGCGACAAGACAAUUUAGAUUUAGAGAUGCUAAGGAAUUAAGAUCACACACUUGGGGCAGAGUUACAAUAAGUAUACAAUAUUCAGCCAUCUAGCCACCCCUUCAUGGUUGUAGUAAUACAAUUAUUCUGUUAAGAUUCUUUCCUGGCCGGGCGCAGUGGCUCAUGCCUGUAUACCCUGCACUUUGAGAGGCGGAGGCGGGCAGAUCACCUGAGAUCAGGAGUUCAAGACCAGCCUGACCAACAUGGUUAAAACCCCAUCUCUACUAAAAUACAAAAAUUAGCCAGGCGUGGUGGCAGGUGCCUGUAGUCCCAGCUACUUGAGAGACAGAGGCAGGAAAACCUCUUGAACCCGGGAGGUGGAGGUUGCAGUGAGCCGAGAUCAUGCCACUGCACUCCAGCCUGGGCAACAGAGCAAGAAGCCAUCUCAAAAAAAUAAAAAUUAUUCUUUACAUCAACAAAUUUAUUGUCAUUUUACAGCAGUAAUUUGCAUAUAUACAUUAUCAAUAUAAAAAUUCAACAAGUAAGCAAACUUAUAUAUAUGCUUUGCAAACUUAACAGCUAUAAAAUGUUUAUUUUAAAAUACUUUCAUUAAUACUUUUAGAUAUAUUCAAUAAUUGCCAAAUCCAUACUCUAUAUCCAUAAUAAUUUGAAAAUGUAACAUUAACUUAUAGAAUUAGGUUAGUAGCAUUAUGGACAUUAUCAAACUUAUAUUUAUUUGUGUGAUAUUCUCAUCAAUACAAUUAUAUCUAUUCAGCAAUCCCCAAAUCCAUGUCUUGAUAUCCAUAAUAUUUUAAAAAGUUAACAUCAAUUUGUAAAUUAUGUUAGUAGUUAGUGUUAUGGAACUUGGGAACAAACACUGAAUGCCACAUUAGGAGAAAAAAAAUUCCUGCUUCUUUUGAAAACAGAAACAUUCACAUUCUCAGAUAUUAUCACUGCUUUUGUACAUUGUUCUGAGUGAUAAGAAAUUACCUAAUGGGUACAAGGUACACUAUCUGGGCAAUGGUUGUACUAAAAGCCCAAACCUCACUACUAUAAAAUAUAUAUAUUCCUGCAACAAAACUGCACUUACACCACCUAAAUCUUUUUUUUUUUUUUUUUUAGAUGGAGUUUCGCUUUUGUUGCCCAGGCUGGAGUGAAAUGGCGUGGUCUCAGCUCACUGCAAUCCCCGCCUCCCGGAUUCAAGGAAUUCUCCUGCCUCAGCCUCCCAAGUAGCUGGGAUUACAGGUGCCCACCACCACGCCUGGCUAAUUUUUGUAUUUUUAGUAGAGACUGGGUUUCACCAUGUUGCCCAUGCUGGCCUUGAACUCCUGACCUCAAGUGGUCUGCCCGUUUUGGCCUCCUAAAGUGCUGAGAUUACAGGCAUGAGCCACUGCUCCUGGCCUAUACCAUCUAAAUAUUUUCAAAAAAUUAAAAAGAUAUUAUACUAAAAUUACAAUUCACAUAGUGAUUUUUAAAAUAUAUCUUAAGCCAGUGUAUUUAGGAUGACACAGCUAUGACUUGACACUUUAUUUUCCUAAAUGUAAUGGUAGAUGUAGCCACUAAAUCAAUAGUGAAAUACAGUUUCUUUAUUUUUUCUCUUCAUCAAAAGAAAUGGAUUUCUAAACUAAGGGAAGAUCUCAAAAUAAAUGUAAGCAUUCUCAAAAUAAAAAAAAAGUAAAUACAGAGGCAAAAAUGACUCAAAGUUAUCAAAUAUUUAGAUGUUUAUUAAUAUAAUUAUUUUAGGUUUUUAUGCUAAUUUUUCUAAAAUAUUAUUCAACUUUCUUGACUGAAUUUUUUUCACCUAUUUUCUGCAUUAUGAGUAGCUUUGAAAUUAGAACUAAGUAUAGUGACAGUUACUGUCUUUCCACUUGAAAAAGUUCUCAGUCCAUGACGAGGCUCUAUUCCCCAAAUUGAAACACACCUUAUUUAAUUAACCUAGCCAUAAAAGACAAAAGAAUCUUGUAGUUGGGUUUUGUGUAAUAAAAAUAAUAAAUUUGUUUUUCUACAUUGUUGCACACUUCAAUAAAUGGUGGGUUUUUUUUAGUUAUAUUGCCAUACCUAAGAUUGUGAUAGAAGAUUGUAUGCAUUUAUUUAAUAUUGCAAGGUGCAAUGUUGUUUAACAUUGUAGUAGUCUUUGAUAUAUUUAAUAAAAGUGUUCCAAAUGUAUUUACUGACUUAAGGUCUCACAUCACAUUCAGAACUUUAGUGAAUGAUACUUUACAUAAAGAAACAUCAUAGAUUCAAAUCUGUCCAACCAUUUUCCAAAUGAGUUUCAGUGUGAUUCAAAUGUGUAAUUUAACAGAUAAAAAUGCAACACUCUCUAAUUUGUUUGCAAAAAUAACAAAGUGACCAAAAAAAAAAAAAAAAAACCACACACACGCACAUACCACACACACACACAAAAUCAAGAAAACAAGAAAGAAAAAGCUGAUUUUGUAAUGCAAGUUUGCAGUAUGAGAUAGAAACUGCAUACCAUAAUAUUUGUUAGCUUGGCAGAGGACAAUCUUCUUCCAUAUGAUAGUUUUAUGGUAAUAUUGUCAGUGGGAGCAAAAAGAACUGCUCCACUGAUGAAUUAAAAAAUGUUUGCUUCACUCUUAUUUCACUGUUUUUAAUUUUAUCUGGUAUAUUUUGAUAAUAUACAGUUUGUAUACUUAUUCAAUUACUAGUGUAAGUAGAUAAAUGUUUAUGUACUGUGGAGGAGUACUUAAAAUUUUUUAACUGUGGGAUGUGCAUUCAAAGAAAAUUUGAAGACCAUUAUCUUCUAUUUGUUCUCCUCUCCUCAUUGUUCUUUCUAUUUUUUCAUUAAAAAUUUUGUUAUGGAUACAUUAUAGUUUUACAUAUUGAUGGGGUACAUGUAAUGUUUUUGAUACAAGCAUAUAGUGUGUAGUAAUCAAAUCAAGGUAAUUGGGAUUUUCGUAACCUCAAGUAUUUAUUAUUUAAUUGUGUUAGAAACAUUCCAGUUUUACUCUUCUAGUUAUUUUGAAAUAUACAAUAAAUUAUUGUUAAUUAUAGUCAUCCUGUUGUGCUACUGAACAUUAGAUCAUAUUUGUUUUUACUUCAUUGGAUUUUUGGUUAAUGGGUACAAAACAACAGCUUGUUUUGUAUUUUACUCAGUUAGAGCCUUAUAAUUGUUACUCAAACCUAUGACUUGCUAAAUUAGUUUUUUUUCUCAUACUAUACUUCUUUGUGGAACCCUAAUGAUUAUAUUCACCCCCAAGAACAUAAGCCCAAAAAACCAGCAAAUAUGACUAUUC